Molecule: transfer RNA, 87 nt
Filed under: Methylocystis sp. MJC1
Lineage: Bacteria; Pseudomonadati; Pseudomonadota; Alphaproteobacteria; Hyphomicrobiales; Methylocystaceae
Description: tRNA-Ser
Rfam family: tRNA
About the family: Transfer RNA (tRNA) molecules are approximately 80 nucleotides in length. Their secondary structure includes four short double-helical elements and three loops (D, anti-codon, and T loops).
Source: RNAcentral
GGCCCCGUGGCGAAAUCGGUAGACGCAGCGGUCUUGAAAACCGCCUCCUGGCAGGGAUUGUCGGUUCGAAUCCGACCGGGGCCACCA